Molecule: ribosomal RNA, 447 nt
Filed under: uncultured bacterium
Lineage: Bacteria
Description: bacterial SSU rRNA
Rfam family: Bacterial small subunit ribosomal RNA
Source: RNAcentral
UUCCAGACUCCUACGGGAGGCAGCAGUGGGGAAUAUUGCACAAUGGGGGAAACCCUGAUGCAGCGACGCCGCGUGAGCGAUGAAGUAUUUCGGUAUGUAAAGCUCUCUCAGCAGGGAAGAAAAUGACGGUACCUGACUAAGAAGCCCCGGCUAACUACGUGCCAGCAGCCGCGGUAAUACGUAGGGGGCAAGCGUUAUCCGGAUUUACUGGGUGUAAAGGGAGCGUAGACGGCAAUGCAAGCCAGAUGUGAAAGCCCGGGGCUCAACCCCGGGACUGCAUUUGGAACUGUGUAGCUGGAGUGUCGGAGAGGCAGGCGGAAUUCCUAGUGUAGCGGUGAAAUGCGUAGAUAUCUGGAGGAACAUCAGUGGCGAAGGCGACUAUCUGGCACAUAACUGACGCUGAGGAGCGAAAGCGUGGGUAGCAAACAGGAUUAGAUACCCUAGUAA